GUGCUCACUUGGGCAGCACAUAUGCUAAUAUUGGAACCAUACAGAAAAGAUUAGCAUGGACCCUGCGCAAGGGUGACAUGCAAGUUCGUGAAGCCAUCCAUAUUUUU
Callithrix jacchus (white-tufted-ear marmoset) is the source of this 107-nucleotide small nuclear RNA. The record is from Ensembl. NCBI's taxonomy places the organism in Eukaryota, Metazoa, Chordata, Mammalia, Primates, Cebidae.